Molecule: transfer RNA, 76 nt
Filed under: Myxococcota bacterium
Lineage: Bacteria; Pseudomonadati; Myxococcota
Description: tRNA-Arg
Rfam family: tRNA
About the family: Transfer RNA (tRNA) molecules are approximately 80 nucleotides in length.
Source: RNAcentral
GGGCGCAUAGCUCAGGGGAUAGAGCACUGGUCUCCGGAACCAGGGGCCGCAGGUUCGAUUCCUGCUGCGCCCGCCA